Molecule: non-coding RNA, 698 nt
Organism: Camellia sinensis
Lineage: Eukaryota; Viridiplantae; Streptophyta; Magnoliopsida; Ericales; Theaceae
Source: RefSeq, a predicted model, not a curated record
UAUUGCUUUAGAACUCAAACUGAUUGAGAGUAGAGGCCAAACGACGAGGAGAGGAGAGGAGAGGCAGCGGUGAGGCGAGGGGAAACAACGGCGAAACGACGGCGACGAGGUCCGUUCGUCUUCAGGAUCAUUUUUCUCAGGAUCAUGUCAAUGUCAAUGGGUUCAAAUAUUGAUACUGGAUAUUUGCAAAAUCAUAGAUGCAAUUGUGGAAAAAAAGUUGCAGUGUUCAUAUCAGAAUCAGAGAAAAAUCCAGGGAGGCUGUAUUUCAAGUGUGCAACUAGGAUGUGGGAGUACUUUGGAUGGGGACCGGCUUCGACUGGGAAUGCAUCAGAUAUCCAAAGGAAAAGUAAAGCUACUUAUCUGAAGAAUGAAGAUGAGAGAGGCUAUGAUUAUGAUGUUGACAAACUCAAUCAAAUUAUAAAUAAAUUGGAACGAGUUGAAGCAAACCAAGAAGCUAUGAAACUGUUUAUGUUCACAGCCAUUGUGUUGAUUGGUUUUACUAUGCUAAUAGCACUACUGAAGUGAAUGUAAUCUUUUAGUGAUGCGCUUAACCUUUUUUAGGUGGAUGUAUUUGGGUAACCUUAGUGAAUGUAACCUUUUUUUUUUUUUGGUGGAUGUAUGUGGGUUUUGAAUGUUGUAGACCUGAAACUAUGAAUGUUGAUAUGUAAAGUUUAAUGGAAUUACCUAUGUUUGACGAA